RNAcentral lists this ribosomal RNA (796 nucleotides) under uncultured bacterium. RNAcentral's name for it is "bacterial SSU rRNA". It matches the Rfam family "Bacterial small subunit ribosomal RNA", at positions 8 to 796 of the family's 1533-position model. The record is from RNAcentral.
AGAGUUUGAUCAUGGCUCAGAUUGAACGCUGGCGGCGUGCCUAACACAUGCAAGUCGAGCGGUAACAGGUGUAGCAAUACAUGCUGACGAGCGGCGAACGGGUGAGUAAUGCUUCGGAAUCUUCCCAUGUAGUGGGGAAUAACUAGCCGAAAGGUUAGCUAAUACCGCAUACGUCCUACGGGAGAAAGCAGGGGAUCGCAAGACCUUGCGCUAUUGGAUGAGCCGAAGUCGGAUUAGCUAGUUGGUGAGGUAACGGCUCACCAAGGCGACAAUCCGUAGCUGGUCUGAGAGGACGACCAGCCACACUGGGACUGAGACACGGCCCAGACUCCUACGGGAGGCAGCAGUGGGGAAUAUUGGACAAUGGGGGAAACCCUGAUCCAGCGACGCCGCGUGUGUGAAGAAGGCCUGCGGGUUGUAAAGCACUUUUAGUGGGGAUGAAAAGCCUAGGGUUAAUACCUCUGGGUCUUGACCUAACCCACAGAAAAAGCACCGGCUAACUCUGUGCCAGCAGCCGCGGUAAUACAGAGGGUGCAAGCGUUAAUCGGAAUUACUGGGCGUAAAGCGUGCGUAGACGGUUAUGUAAGUCAGAUGUGAAAGCCCCGGGCUCAACCUGGGAAUUGCAUUUGAGACUGUGUAGCUAGGGUGCGGAAGAGGGAAGCGGAAUUUCCGGUGUAGCGGUGAAAUGCGUAGAUAUCGGAAGGAACACCAGUGGCGAAAGCGGCUUCCUGGUCCAGCACCGACGUUCAGGCACGAAAGCGUGGGGAGCAAACAGGAUUAGAUACCCUAGUAGUCC